RNAcentral lists this long non-coding RNA (1059 nucleotides) under Callithrix jacchus (white-tufted-ear marmoset). RNAcentral's name for it is "lncRNA (ENSCJAG00000080673.1)". Lineage: Eukaryota; Metazoa; Chordata; Mammalia; Primates; Cebidae. The record is from RNAcentral.
AUGAUUCACCUCGGCACUGUCUUCCGGACACAGGCGAAUAUCGCAGGAGCACUGGUCAGAUGCUGCUGGGUGCCUGCUGGACAAGCGAGCCAGAGGAACACCAAGGCCCUGCCCUCGAGGGGCAUGCCAGGUCUCGGGGCCCUAGACCAGGAGUCCUUCCAAGGGGCCUGCCACACUCCUCACGUUUCAAAAUGAAUUUCCACCCUUAACAUUAUACCCUCUGUCAAGUUCAAAGAGCCUUUGCAUUUUGUUUGUUUGAAACAGGGUCUCACUGUGUCACCCAGGCUGGAGUGCAAUGGCAUGACCUUGGCUCACUGCAGCCUCAGCCUCGUGGACUCCAGGGAUCCUCCCACUACAGCCCCCCAAUUAUAGCUGGGACUACAGGCAUGUCCCACCACACCCUGCUAAUUUUUGCAUUUUUUUGUAGAGAUGGGAUUUUGCCAUGCUGCCCAGGCUGGUCUUGAACUCCUAAGCUCAAGCAAUCCUCCCACCUUGGCCUCCUAAAGUGGUGGGAUUACAGGUGUGAGCCACUGUGCCUGGCUGCAGAUGAUUUUCUUUGAUUCAGCCCAUCUCACUGUGGUUUUUCUUUCUAUAGAAACCCCAGCAUUCCCAAUAAGGACCCUUGGUGCUUCUGGAAAGGAGUAUUGAAGCACCAGCCUUCCUUUCCAAAAUUCUAACCCAAGUUCUGGAACCAUUUCUAGAUGUGUGUGUGUACAUACAUAUACAUGUAUAUAAGUAUUUGCAUAUGUGUGUAUAUAUUAAAAUUUAUAUAUUUACUCUCAUAGAUGCAUGUAUUCAUACAUAUUGUACAUACAUAUGCAUAUCUACGUAUGUAUAUUUAAAUUUCUGUUUGUCCCUCAUUUUUUCUUCAUACUAGAAAAACGCAAUAUUGACAAAGAAAAUCAAACAUGAAUUGGUUUGUAGGUCUAGAUGUCACAGCAGUGACUGCAGGCAUUUCGUAAUAAUCCCUGGGUCAUCUCUCUAAGCCUGCCACCAUUUGGAAGUGAGUAAUAUUAUACAGUUCCAGUUACAAAGCCACUGGACUUGACUAAAUCCUCA